RNAcentral lists this ribosomal RNA (253 nucleotides) under uncultured bacterium. RNAcentral's name for it is "partial 16S ribosomal RNA". It matches the Rfam family "Bacterial small subunit ribosomal RNA", at positions 524 to 776 of the family's 1533-position model. The record is from RNAcentral.
GACGUAGGGCGCGAGCGUUGUCCGGAUUUAUUGGGCGUAAAGAGCUCGUAGGCGGCUUGUCGCGUCGAAUGUGAAAUCUCAGAGCUCAACUCUGACAUUGCAUUCGAUACGGGCAGGCUAGAGUUCGGUAGGGGAGACUGGAAUUCCUGGUGUAGCGGUGAAAUGCGCAGAUAUCAGGAAGAACACCAAUGGCGAAGGCAGCUCUCUGGGACGGUACUGACGCUGAGACGCGAAAGCGUGGGGAGCGAACAGG